CCUAGAGAAAACUUGGACGAACAGUGCAUUCGACGGGAGGCUUGUUUUACUGGAUUAAGUCCUUCAGAUGACCUGGGGGACAACUGUCAACAACAUGGAGAAAAUCCUGUCCUUUAUAAAUACCUACCUCAAACUGACCUUAAGAAUCCUCUGGCCAAACACCAUCAGUAACCUGGAACUGUGGCAGCAAGUAGAACAGCCUGUUGAAGCAGAGCUUCUCAGACCUGACCUGGAUGAAGACGUGAUGAGGACGUCUGGCUCUUCAUGUGGACAACUGGACAAUAUAACCCAGGACCUGGAUGACUGGUUGCCUUUGAAAAGCCACAUUGCCCAUGCAGAAUUGGGGGUCAUUCUGCUCGGUGAGGAAUGGACGGGAAAAAGCUCAUCUGGAAACACCAUCUUGGGAUGUGAUGAAUUUCCUGUGGACAAAAGCACAAAUCAAGUGACUCGCAAGACCACGGUGCUGGACAGCAGGCCCAUCACAAUGGUUGACACCCCUGGGUGGGACCCCUGUUCAUCUUCAGAUGUCCCCCAUCGUAUCCUAAGCAGAGCCUGUGGAAGUGUGUCACAUGGGGGUCUGGAGGGACCUCAUGUCAUCUUGCUAACCCUGCCUAUCUGCCAUGAUGCUGAGUGGAAUAAGAAGGCGGCCGAGAGACUGCAGCGGUUGUUUAAGAGGGCAAUGUGGCAGCACACCAUCUUGCUCUUCACCAGGGCACACUUGCUUGGCACAACUAGCAUCGAGCAGUAUCUCCAAGGAAAAGGCAAGGUCUUGCAGGUCCUGGUGGAGAAGUGUGAGCACAGGUACCAUGCCCUGCACAAUAUCGGUACCAGAGUGCCUGCAGAAGUGACGGCUAUCCUGGACACGAUGGAGAGGAUGGUGGAGGAAAAUGGUGGUCAGAGCUUUUGUUUGGAACAGGAGUUUGUCGAGGAGGAUUUUUUGGAGCAGCAGUCAAGAGAAGCGAUGGAGAUGGAAUCUGUGACGUGGAGCAGGGAGAAGGAGAUGGAGCUCAUGAGGCUUCUUGAACAGGCCAAGAAAGACCUUUGUGAUCUGAAAGGGAGGAGAGCCAAGAAAAACAACCAAAGAAGGAAAAAGAAGCAAGCCCGUGCACUCAUCAAACCUGCUGGUACACAGGACGCACAGAAAGAGAUACAAAUGGAUGUUGACGGCUGUGAGAAGACGGAGCACAUGAGGCUUCUUGAACAGUCCAAGAAAGAAGUUUAUAAUCUGAAAGGGAGGACGGCCAAGAAAAACAACCAAAGGAGGAAAAAGAAGCAAGCCUGCGCACUCAUCAAACCUGGUGGUACACAGGACACACAAGACCAGAUAAAAACGAAUGUUGAUGGCUGCUUACCUGUAGAAAUUGACAUACUAGCACAUCAACAAUGCAAACAACCAGUGCGUAACACUCAAGCUGAAAGAAGAAAAGGUUGAGCCCACUCUCCAUACCUAUGGGCAAUCAGAGUCCAUUCAUACUAAAGAGGAGAUGAAAGUCUCAGGUGACAAAUUGGCAUCUGCAUUGCCCCUGAAUGAUGAGGAGAAUGAGGAGUCUGAGAUCAUGCAGAGUAUCAUAGUAGUUCCAGGAGGGGGAAAAGAGGAAGAGGAGGAGGAAGAGACCUUGCCACCCGAGAAAGCAGAAUCACAGAAUGACAUUCUAACAGUGCAGACUAGUGUCAAAUGUUGUUUGCCAGACACUGGUGGAGGAGAUGGUCAGCUGAUGCAUGAAUCUGAUCAGAGUGAAGACACUAAUGAAGGGAAGUUAUAUUUGUCUGAAGACGGUUUCAUGCAAGCAAAGGAAGAAGUGCUUAAUGGGCAAAAUGGAUCAGGGAUUGCAAACUCUGUUGAUAAAUUGCAUUGGCAUCCCAACCCCACUACCCUUGAUUAUACAAAAGGAAGAGAUGAUGUCCUUGACCACAAAAAAGAGCAAAGCUCAACAAAAAAUAGUCAGGAAGAACAAGGCAUCCACCAUGUGACUGCCUUAAGUAAUUGCCAAAGGUUCAGUCUUUCGAGUUCCGAGGGCCUGUUUCAAGCGGAUAGUCACUUGAUGGGGUAUACAGACAGCUCCACGUUAGAAGAUGUCAGCCUUCCAUCUGCUGUGAAAUGUACCUCCAGUCAGCUAGGGGUGGAGUUCAGGGAUGCCUCCAAACAGGAGAAGCCCAUAGAUCCCUCACAUGUGACCUCAAGAUGUGACACUUGUGCAGGGAAGAUGCCAGCUGUGCUCAAAGAUAUGGCCCUAAGCAACAGCAUCUUGGUGUCCACGUGCCCAGGAGAAACUAAACAAAAUGGGCCUACUUCCACAGGCAGCAUUGAAGGCAAUGGCAGUGAUCAUGCGAAGCGUCCAUGCAAACUUACUCCUGUCCAUCAAGCUCAAGAAGAUGCACUUGCAGAGUAUCCACCAGUGCUGGUUGUAACCAAACACCUCAUGGAAAUGGAAGAUAGGCCUAAUGUAUACAAACCUGAUGGAAAAUACUCUGUGAAUGGAAGAAGACGUGAUGUCUACAAGAAGUCUGCUGAACGCCGAAGCAGUAGCGCUCAUAGAUUUGUCAAUUUCAAAGGACAAAAAGAGAGGAGCAAUGAUGCACGUCACCUGAGAAGAGCCCAAAGCCUUGAGCGAUUUGAUGUAUUCAAGAGUGGGUAUCAUAUAUGGUCCUGGAGGCUUUUUGGUCAUUAACAAUAAUACUGUAUAUCUGGUACUUCUGCCCCUCUAUGUGCAACAGUUUGAAGACAGUGAUUUUUAAAUGUCAAAUCAAAUGUGAUACUUAUCGUAAACUAUAAUAGGUGAGCAGGUAUAUUUUUUUUAACAUAAGCAAUUGCAAAAUGGACCCUGUCUGGGGAAAUCACCACCGCAGGAAAACCCAGCGAAAUCGGACAAGCAUCUAAGCAGAGCUGCUCAUCGCGAGAACGACCCCAGUCCCAAAGACCUCAGAUAUGCUGUCUGUGGAGGAGUCAAACAACUUGGAGGACGGACAAAUCUCAAAGGGAAAAAUAUUUCCGAUAGGAAAGCAGUCUGCAGGGGAAAGCGGGACUAUGCCUUGCUCACAAGAGGCCGGGCCUGAAGUCUGUGCAGUGCUUAUGGGCAGUCAUGGGUAAGCGACUAGGCUUGUGGCCCAAGGGUGGCCAGUUUGAUUCCUGACACAGUCAGUUGUUUGGGGGAAGCACUGCCAUCCUCCUCCAUGACUGAGGUUCCCUGAGCAUUGUCAAUCCAGCACUGUUUCAAGAUUUCAUACCAUCAUCUCAGGAAAUCACUCAACUCCUCUCCACUCCCAUCUACACUUCAUAACACUGCACCCCUCAUUGGCAUCCCUAUAUCAACGGAGUUGGCCAUACCGGGCCCAUAUCAUCAUAUAGGCCUAUUUCACUACCCACCUAAUGGACAGCGGAAAACAUUUCUAUUUGUAAAACAUGUUUUAAUUUAUCAUUUAGCCAACCAUUGAACUUGUGUAACUCAGUGUUGUAAAGGGAAAGAAACCUUUGGACUAUGAAAGCGGCUUCAACCAUUUCUUAAUGUUGCACAUACUAGCCAAGACAUUUUCUGAAACUGACUGUGACCUGAACACAGAGAAUUGAUCAUUUACUGCUUAGACAUGAAGCCUUUUAUAUAUACACAUUAAAUACUGUCACCUAAAGGGAUGAAUAUGUAUUUUGAUUUAAAUCCUUUUCUGUAAUUUCUCCUAAUUGUUGUUUUUUAAAACCAUGUGAAAGUUACUUAUAUGUUCAUGUAGCCUACUCUAUUCACAUUUGUAAUCUUUUCUCAUUCAUUGAUCCUUGAAACUUUCAAAUGUUUUUGGUUUUGCCUGAUGCAUAAUAGACACAGGCAAAGACCUGUCUGUCUAUUUGACACCUUUUUAAAUAAUAAAGUUUCUUUUUGGAGCUGAUCAGCAGUGUGCAGACCUACCCUUUUCAACAGUCUGAGUUUGUCUGGCACCUGCAACAAGUGUUUUUGGAUGUGCGCACCCUACCCAAAACUACUGAACACAGAGAACAUAUAAUGUAUCUAUCCACCACACCGACUAGCGGAAUAGGAAUGUUGUUUACAUGAAGAUUUGUUUGCGGACAUUGAAUUUUGUUUAGAUUGGACAUUGGAGUACCCACCCAGAGUAGCCAGUCCAUACUUCCUUUGAGGUUGAUUGAAGUAAUUAUGCGAGUUAUGCUGGACUAUGCAUCUGCUUUUUGUUGCAAUUAUACUGCCUUACUUUUGAACACUAUCUGUAGGCCUAGUGUGUGCACACAUUUAAACAAUCACAGAAUGCUACAUCACUCAUCGUGUCACCCCAUGUAUGUGGUGUUCUCCUUGGAGUGACUGCAAGUCUUGAAUUUCAUCUCUUGUUCACAGGCAAUGUACGUCAGCAAACCUUGCAAACACUGGUGUAGAGCCACCAGAAUAAAAAUGUUAUGGAAAAAAUCAAGUGUAUAUUUUACUGCCUCUGCCUUAUAUGAAUUAGCAACACCACGUAUCUAAAUAUAGUUGCGCAUCUCAAAGCUUCAGACAACCAGUUUAACCUUCCAGACUGGAAUCUAUGGGGUACCUUAGUCACGUCCUCUACUUCCUGGUUCAUGGGGCAGAGGGAGUCAAAAAAUAAUUACUGGGCUUGAAAUGAGUGGUUUUUCGACAACAAUCCAAACCUUGGACCUCCACUUAUGCACCACAA
RNA transcript from Engraulis encrasicolus (European anchovy), 4647 nucleotides. It is a transcript of the gene named GTPase IMAP family member 4-like, with no coding region annotated. The record is from RefSeq and is a predicted model, not a curated record. Lineage: Eukaryota; Metazoa; Chordata; Actinopteri; Clupeiformes; Engraulidae. The transcript has 6 exons.